Molecule: ribosomal RNA, 255 nt
Filed under: uncultured bacterium
Lineage: Bacteria
Description: partial 16S ribosomal RNA
Rfam family: Bacterial small subunit ribosomal RNA
Source: RNAcentral
UACGUAGGGUGCGAGCGUUAAUCGGAAUUACUGGGCGUAAAGGGUGCGCAGGCGGUUAUAUAAGACAGAUGUGAAAUCCCCCGGGCUCAACCUGGGAACUGCGUUUGUGACUGUAUGACUAGAGUACGGUAGAGAGGGGUGGAAUUCCUGGUGUAGCAGUGAAAUGCGUAGAUAUCAGGAGGAACACCAGUGGCGAAGGCGGCUUUCUGGACGGUAACUGACGCUGGAGACGCGAAAGCGUGGGGAGCAAACAGG